This 507-nucleotide ribosomal RNA is filed under the name uncultured bacterium. RNAcentral's name for it is "partial 16S ribosomal RNA". The record is from RNAcentral.
GGAGUUAGCCGGUGCUUCUUCUGUGAGUGAUGUCCUUCCUGCCGGCUAUUAACCCGCAGGCCUUCUUCCUCACUGAAAGUGCUUUACAACCCGAAGGCCUUCUUCACACACGCGGCAUGGCUGGAUCAGGGUUGCCCCCAUUGUCCAAUAUUCCACACUGCUGCCUCCCGUAGGAGUCUGGGCCGUGUCUCAGUCCCAGUGUGGCUGAUCAUCCUCUCAGACCAGCUACGGAUCGUCGCCUUGGUGAGCCGUUACCUCACCAACCAGCUAAUCCGACAUAGGCUCAUCCGAUAGCGCGAGGCCCGAAGGUCCCCCGCUUUCCCCCGUAGGGCGUAUGCGGUAUUAGCCUGGGUUUCCCCAGGUUAUCCCCCACUACCGGGCAGAUUCCUAUGCAUUACUCACCCGUCCGCCGCUCGCCACCAGGGAGCAAGCUCCCCGUGCUGCCGCUCGACUUGCAUGUGUUAGGCCUGCCGCCAGCGUUCAAUCUGAGCCAGGAUCAAACUCUGA